Long non-coding RNA from Carassius carassius (crucian carp), 475 nucleotides. RefSeq lists it as uncharacterized. The transcript is spliced from 2 exons. The record is from RefSeq and is a predicted model, not a curated record. NCBI's taxonomy places the organism in Eukaryota, Metazoa, Chordata, Actinopteri, Cypriniformes, Cyprinidae.
GUUCAGAUGUGAUGAGUUUAACUCAUUUUGCCUUCAUCUGAAUGGAUUAAGUGUAAAUGAAACACACUUCAGUUUGUUGUUAUGAUGCACAAUUUCUUCUUUCCAGCUAAAAGCUGAAGAGGCCCGAAUGACUCUUCGAUUGGAACCGUGUUUUCUCUCUCUCUCUCGCCCUGUCUUUCCUCAUUUCUGUCGCUCUCUGGCCAUCUGCUGUGUAAGUGCAGCACUAUUGAUCAGAAUCAAUGCGCCUCGGACCCCAUGAUGCUGCCGUUACCGUCGCGCGCUGCAUCUGUUCGGGGCGCGCGCAGAGAUCCUGCGGCUCACGGAGCCGUGACCUUUAACCCUUGACACAUUCACCUCAUUGUGUCCAUGAAAGAGAGGAGCAAACACGCAUGGACGACACCACUGAUACCUCACGCUGAAACCCUCCUCUUAUAUAUGUAUAAAACCUAAUAAAUUGAAUAUAUGUCUAAAUGAA